Molecule: ribosomal RNA, 2894 nt
Filed under: human gut metagenome
Description: bacterial LSU rRNA
Rfam family: Bacterial large subunit ribosomal RNA
Source: RNAcentral
ACUAAGCGUACACGGUGGAUGCCCUGGCAGUCAGAGGCGAUGAAGGACGUGCUAAUCUGCGAUAAGCGUCGGUGAGGUGAUAUGAACCGUUAUAACCGGCGAUUUCCGAAUGGGGAAACCCAGUGUGUUUCGACACACUAUCAUUAACUGAAUCCAUAGGUUAAUGAGGCGAACCGGGGGAACUGAAACAUCUAAGUACCCCGAGGAAAAGAAAUCAACCGAGAUUCCCCCAGUAGCGGCGAGCGAACGGGGAGCAGCCCAGAGCCUGAAUCAGUGUGUGUGUUAGUGGAAGCGUCUGGAAAGGCGCGCGAUACAGGGUGACAGCCCCGUACACAAAAAUGCACAUGCUGUGAGCUCGAUGAGUAGGGCGGGACACGUGGUAUCCUGUCUGAAUAUGGGGGGACCAUCCUCCAAGGCUAAAUACUCCUGACUGACCGAUAGUGAACCAGUACCGUGAGGGAAAGGCGAAAAGAACCCCGGCGAGGGGAGUGAAAAAGAACCUGAAACCGUGUACGUACAAGCAGUGGGAGCCUCUUUAUGGGGUGACUGCGUACCUUUUGUAUAAUGGGUCAGCGACUUAUAUUCUGUAGCAAGGUUAACCGAAUAGGGGAGCCGAAGGGAAACCGAGUCUUAACUGGGCGUUAAGUUGCAGGGUAUAGACCCGAAACCCGGUGAUCUAGCCAUGGGCAGGUUGAAGGUUGGGUAACACUAACUGGAGGACCGAACCGACUAAUGUUGAAAAAUUAGCGGAUGACUUGUGGCUGGGGGUGAAAGGCCAAUCAAACCGGGAGAUAGCUGGUUCUCCCCGAAAGCUAUUUAGGUAGCGCCUCGUGAAUUCAUCUCCGGGGGUAGAGCACUGUUUCGGCAAGGGGGUCAUCCCGACUUACCAACCCGAUGCAAACUGCGAAUACCGGAGAAUGUUAUCACGGGAGACACACGGCGGGUGCUAACGUCCGUCGUGAAGAGGGAAACAACCCAGACCGCCAGCUAAGGUCCCAAAGUCAUGGUUAAGUGGGAAACGAUGUGGGAAGGCCCAGACAGCCAGGAUGUUGGCUUAGAAGCAGCCAUCAUUUAAAGAAAGCGUAAUAGCUCACUGGUCGAGUCGGCCUGCGCGGAAGAUGUAACGGGGCUAAACCAUGCACCGAAGCUGCGGCAGCGACGCUUAUGCGUUGUUGGGUAGGGGAGCGUUCUGUAAGCCUGCGAAGGUGUGCUGUGAGGUAUGCUGGAGGUAUCAGAAGUGCGAAUGCUGACAUAAGUAACGAUAAAGCGGGUGAAAAGCCCGCUCGCCGGAAGACCAAGGGUUCCUGUCCAACGUUAAUCGGGGCAGGGUGAGUCGACCCCUAAGGCGAGGCCGAAAGGCGUAGUCGAUGGGAAACAGGUUAAUAUUCCUGUACUUGGUGUUACUGCGAAGGGGGGACGGAGAAGGCUAUGUUGGCCGGGCGACGGUUGUCCCGGUUUAAGCGUGUAGGCUGAUUUUCCAGGCAAAUCCGGAAAAUCAAGGCUGAGGCGUGAUGACGAGGCACUACGGUGCUGAAGCAACAAAUGCCCUGCUUCCAGGAAAAGCCUCUAAGCAUCAGGUAACAUCAAAUCGUACCCCAAACCGACACAGGUGGUCAGGUAGAGAAUACCAAGGCGCUUGAGAGAACUCGGGUGAAGGAACUAGGCAAAAUGGUGCCGUAACUUCGGGAGAAGGCACGCUGAUAUGUAGGUGAAGCGACUUGCUCGUGGAGCUGAAAUCAGUCGAAGAUACCAGCUGGCUGCAACUGUUUAUUAAAAACACAGCACUGUGCAAACACGAAAGUGGACGUAUACGGUGUGACGCCUGCCCGGUGCCGGAAGGUUAAUUGAUGGGGUUAGCGGUAACGCGAAGCUCUUGAUCGAAGCCCCGGUAAACGGCGGCCGUAACUAUAACGGUCCUAAGGUAGCGAAAUUCCUUGUCGGGUAAGUUCCGACCUGCACGAAUGGCGUAAUGAUGGCCAGGCUGUCUCCACCCGAGACUCAGUGAAAUUGAACUCGCUGUGAAGAUGCAGUGUACCCGCGGCAAGACGGAAAGACCCCGUGAACCUUUACUAUAGCUUGACACUGAACAUUGAGCCUUGAUGUGUAGGAUAGGUGGGAGGCUUUGAAGUGUGGACGCCAGUCUGCAUGGAGCCGGCCUUGAAAUACCACCCUUUAAUGUUUGAUGUUCUAACGUUGGCCCCUGAUCGGGGUUGCGGACAGUGUCUGGUGGGUAGUUUGACUGGGGCGGUCUCCUCCUAAAGAGUAACGGAGGAGCACGAAGGUUGGCUAAUCCUGGUCGGACAUCAGGAGGUUAGUGCAAUGGCAUAAGCCAGCUUGACUGCGAGCGUGACGGCGCGAGCAGGUGCGAAAGCAGGUCAUAGUGAUCCGGUGGUUCUGAAUGGAAGGGCCAUCGCUCAACGGAUAAAAGGUACUCCGGGGAUAACAGGCUGAUACCGCCCAAGAGUUCAUAUCGACGGCGGUGUUUGGCACCUCGAUGUCGGCUCAUCACAUCCUGGGGCUGAAGUAGGUCCCAAGGGUAUGGCUGUUCGCCAUUUAAAGUGGUACGCGAGCUGGGUUUAGAACGUCGUGAGACAGUUCGGUCCCUAUCUGCCGUGGGCGCUGGAGAACUGAGGGGGGCUGCUCCUAGUACGAGAGGACCGGAGUGGACGCAUCACUGGUGUUCGGGUUGUCAUGCCAAUGGCACUGCCCGGUAGCUAAAUGCGGAAGAGAUAAGUGCUGAAAGCAUCUAAGCACGAAACUUGCCCCGAGAUGAGUUCUCCCUGAGACUUAGAGUCUCCUGAAGGAACGUUGAAGACGACGACGUUGAUAGGCCGGGUGUGUAAGCGCAGCGAUGCGUUGAGCUAACCGGUACUAAUGAACCGUGAGGCUUAACC